GACGAACGCCGUCGGCGUGCUUAACACAUGCAAGUCGAACGGAAAGGCCCUGCUUUUGUGGGGUGCUCGAGUGGCGAACGGGUGAGUAACACGUGAGUAACCUGCCCUUGACUUUGGGAUAACUUCAGGAAACUGGGGCUAAUACCGGAUAGGAGCUCCUGCUGCAUGGUGGGGGUUGGAAAGUUUCGGCGGUUGGGGAUGGACUCGCGGCUUAUCAGCUUGUUGGUGGGGUAGUGGCUUACCAAGGCUUUGACGGGUAGCCGGCCUGAGAGGGUGACCGGCCACAUUGGGACUGAGAUACGGCCCAGACUCCUACGGGAGGCAGCAGUGGGGAAUAUUGCACAAUGGGCGGAAGCCUGAUGCAGCAACGCCGCGUGCGGGAUGACGGCCUUCGGGUUGUAAACCGCUUUCGCCUGUGACGAAGCGUGAGUGACGGUAAUGGGUAAAGAAGCACCGGCUAACUACGUGCCAGCAGCCGCGGUGAUACGUAGGGUGCGAGCGUUGUCCGGAUUUAUUGGGCGUAAAGGGCUCGUAGGUGGUUGAUCGCGUCGGAAGUGUAAUCUUGGGGCUUAACCCUGAGCGUGCUUUCGAUACGGGUUGACUUGAGGAAGGUAGGGGAGAAUGGAAUUCCUGGUGGAGCGGUGGAAUGCGCAGAUAUCAGGAGGAACACCAGUGGCGAAGGCGGUUCUCUGGGCCCUUCCUGACGCUGAGGAGCGAAAGCGUGGGGAGCGAACAGGCUUAGAUACCCUGGUAGUCCACGCUGUAAACGGUGGGUACUAGGUGUGGGGUCCAUUCCACGGGUUCCGUGCCGUAGCUAACGCUUUAAGUACCCCGCCUGGGGAGUACGGCCGCAAGGCUAAAACUCAAAGGAAUUGACGGGGCCCCGCACAAGCGGCGGAGCAUGCGGAUUAAUUCGAUGCAACGCGUAGAACCUUACCUGGGUUUGACAUGGAUCGGGAGUGCUCAGAGAUGGGUGUGCCUCUUUUGGGGUCGGUUCACAGGUGGUGCAUGCCUGUCGUCAGCUCGUGUCGUGAGAUGUUGGGUUAAGUCCCGCAACGAGCGCAACCCUUGUUCACUGUUGCCAGCACGUUAUGGUGGGGACUCAGUGGAGACCGCCGGGGUCAACUCGGAGGAAGGUGGGGAUGACGUCAAGUCCUCAUGCCCCUUAUGUCCAGGGCUUCACGCAUGCUACAAUGGCUGGUACAGAGAGUGGCGAGCCUGUGAGGGUGAGCGAAUCUCGGAAAGCCGGUCUCAGUUCGGAUUGGGGUCUGCAACUCGACCUCAUGAAGUCGGAGUCGCUAGUAAUCGCAGAUCAGCAACGCUGCGGUGAAUACGUUCCCGGGGCU
Molecule: ribosomal RNA, 1346 nt
Filed under: uncultured bacterium
Lineage: Bacteria
Description: bacterial SSU rRNA
Rfam family: Bacterial small subunit ribosomal RNA
Source: RNAcentral